RNAcentral lists this ribosomal RNA (253 nucleotides) under uncultured bacterium. RNAcentral describes it as "partial 16S ribosomal RNA". It matches the Rfam family "Bacterial small subunit ribosomal RNA", at positions 524 to 776 of the family's 1533-position model. The record is from RNAcentral.
CACGUAGGGUGCGAGCGUUGUCCGGAAUUAUUGGGCGUAAAGAGCUCGUAGGCGGUGUGUCGCGUCGGCCGUGAAAACUUGCAGCUUAACUGUGGGCGUGCGGGCGAUACGGGCAGACUUGAGUACUGCAGGGGAGACUGGAAUUCCUGGUGUAGCGGUGGAAUGCGCAGAUAUCAGGAGGAACACCGGUGGCGAAGGCGGGUCUCUGGGCAGUAACUGACGCUGAGGAGCGAAAGCGUGGGGAGCGAACAGG